CUCUCUGUUGGCAUCGUUUACAUUAAUGACGCAUUCACUCUCUGCUACGCUACAAUUAUUAGAAAGUAUUCUUAAAUAACGUUAGUACUUGACUUACGCUUUCAUAUUAUGAAAACGAUUUUCUCAUUAAAUUAUUGAUCAAAUGGACCUUUAUUUCUAUAUCAUUGAAUUUACAUCGAUUGCACCAUCAAUUUGCAUCGCACAUCGAUUGUAGAAGAAGGUUAUGUGAUUUCAUUGAAUAAGGAGCUAAAGGAAUGUUUAAGUAAAAAAAAAAAAAAAAAAUAAAAAAUAAAAAAAAUGUACGGAAAUCUGUUCUACAGAACUUAUACUGUUAUUUCAAAUGUUGCAAAAGAGGUUAGGAUUAACAGGAUCACUCAAUACAUCAACGAUAGAAAUGUCUGCAAUUUCAUGUUUCUAAAAAACAAAGGCAAAGUAAAAUCUGAUGAAGUGUAUUCAAAUAAAAUAGUUGAAGGGAGAAUAAACAUUAAUUGAAAAUAUCACUAAAAGAAAUGAAAAGAAUUAAUUUCUAGAGUUCAAUAAUUUCCUGUAGAAAUUGUAAAAAUCAUAAACAAUGUUUUACAUGAAAUAAUUACAAGGAUAAUGAAUUGAAUGGAAAUAUGACUUAGAUCAAGGAAGGAGCUGUUUGAGAUAUCACUUUUUUUGACAUUAAGACUUUCAAGGAUUAUCCUCUCAGAACAAUACCAUUGAUUAACUUUCAGAAUAUUAUGGUCAAGCUAGAAGAUACAAUGCAUAUAACUUAGAUGUUAUAAAAAAAAAAAGAAAGAUGUAUGUACAACAAUCUUCUAUAUAAUAUCAAAUUGAUUAUUAGUCACAUCAAGACUUUUCUUUGAUGUAAUUAUGAAAUGGCUAGAGCAGAGCUUUAUCUAUAAGAAUUCUUUACUUGAUUGUAAAGCAAAGAUUUGACAAAUUCAGAUCUAAUGAAGAAAUGUCUCAUAGAAUAAACAUAAUGUAAAUUAAUCAUUCAAUGACAUUGCAUGAACAAAAGUAUCAAAAAAUGUAUUUGUAUAGAUCCAUACAUUGAAACUUGUAUGUAUGUGAUUGCUAUGGUCAUAUUUAAUGUUGAUAAUGCAAGCAAAAUGGAAGAGCUAGAAGGUAAAACAAGCUAUACUGAAAAACCUGGAUAAGAAACAAGCUGAUAAAGUAAUAUAAGCCUAAAUAUUGUCUAGAGACAAUAUCUUUGUAAUAAUGAAAGAAAAUUCAUUUGGAUAAUACAGAAGUAUUAAUAUUACACCAAUGGAUGGUACUAAUUGGUAUUUUUAUGAACAAAUUGAUUUUGAAAAAUAGCAACGAUGGAAGUAUCAUUGAAAGAGAACGAACAAGAAGAAGCCUUUGAGAAUAUCAACAAUCUCUCAUCCGUUCAAGAGUUUUAUUAUGGUCAAAGGAAUAUUCAUAAU
This is a long non-coding RNA of Vespa velutina, 1415 nucleotides long. RefSeq lists it as uncharacterized. The record is from RefSeq and is a predicted model, not a curated record. The transcript has 4 exons. NCBI's taxonomy places the organism in Eukaryota, Metazoa, Arthropoda, Insecta, Hymenoptera, Vespidae.